Molecule: ribosomal RNA, 497 nt
Filed under: uncultured bacterium
Lineage: Bacteria
Description: partial 16S ribosomal RNA
Rfam family: Bacterial small subunit ribosomal RNA
Source: RNAcentral
GAUGAACGCUGGCGGCGUGCCUAAUACAUGCAAGUCGAGCGAACAGACGAGGAGCUUGCUCCUCUGACGUUAGCGGCGGACGGGUGAGUAACACGUGGAUAACCUACCUAUAAGACUGGGAUAACUUCGGGAAACCGGAGCUAAUACCGGAUAAUAUAUUGAACCGCAUGGUUCAAUAGUGAAAGACGGUUUUGCUGUCACUUAUAGAUGGAUCCGCGCCGCAUUAGCUAGUUGGUAAGGUAACGGCUUACCAAGGCGACGAUGCUUAGCCGACCUGAGAGGGUGACCGCCCACACUGGAACUGAGACACGGUCCAGACUCCUACGGGAGGCAGCAGUAGGGAAUCUUCCGCAAUGGGCGAAAGCCUGACGGAGCAACGCCGCGUGAGUGAUGAAGGUCUUCGGAUCUUAAAACUCUUUUAUUAGGGAAGAACAAAUGUGUAAGUAACUAUGCACGUCUUGACGGUACCUAAUCAGAAAGCCACGGCUAACUACGUG